RNAcentral lists this ribosomal RNA (602 nucleotides) under uncultured bacterium. RNAcentral describes it as "bacterial SSU rRNA". It matches the Rfam family "Bacterial small subunit ribosomal RNA", at positions 202 to 804 of the family's 1533-position model. The record is from RNAcentral.
UAAAGAUUCAUCGCUGAUAGAUAGGCAUGCGUUCCAUUAGGCAGUUGGCGGGGUAACGGCCCACCAAACCGACGAUGGAUAGGGGUUCUGAGAGGAAGGUCCCCCACAUUGGUACUGAGACACGGACCAAACUCCUACGGGAGGCAGCAGUGAGGAAUAUUGGUCAAUGGGCGCGAGCCUGAACCAGCCAAGUCGCGUGAGGGAUGAAGGUUCUAUGGAUCGUAAACCUCUUUUAUAAGGGAAUAAAGUGUGGGACGUGUCCUAUUUUGUAUGUACCUUAUGAAUAAGGAUCGGCUAACUCCGUGCCAGCAGCCGCGGUAAUACGGAGGAUCCGAGCGUUAUCCGGAUUUAUUGGGUUUAAAGGGUGCGUAGGCGGCCUUUUAAGUCAGCGGUGAAAGUCUGUGGCUCAACCAUAGAAUUGCCGUUGAAACUGGGGGGCUUGAGUAUGUUUGAGGCAGGCGGAAUGCGUGGUGUAGCGGUGAAAUGCUUAGAUAUCACGCAGAACCCCGAUUGCGAAGGCAGCCUGCCAAGCCAUGACUGACGCUGAUGCACGAAAGCGUGGGGAUCAAACAGGAUUAGAUACCCUGGUAGUCCACGCAGUA